RNAcentral lists this ribosomal RNA (394 nucleotides) under uncultured bacterium. RNAcentral describes it as "partial 16S ribosomal RNA". It matches the Rfam family "Bacterial small subunit ribosomal RNA", at positions 338 to 729 of the family's 1533-position model. The record is from RNAcentral.
CCUACGGGUGGCUGCAGUGAGGAAUAUUGGUCAAUGGGCGCGAGCCUGAACCAGCCAAGUAGCGUGAAGGAUGACUGUCCUACGGGUUGUAAACUUCUUUUAUAAAGGAAUAAAGUGAGGCACGUGUGCCUGUUUGUAUGUACUUUAUGAAUAAGCAUCGGCUAACUCCGUGCCAGCAGCCGCGGUAAUACGGAGGAUCCGAGCGUUAUCCGGAUUUAUUGGGUUUAAAGGGAGCGUAGGUGGGUUGUUAAGUCAGUAGUGAAAGUUUGCGGCUCAACCGUAGAAUUGCAAUUGAUACUGGCAGCCUUGAGUAGAGGAGAGGUAUGCGGAAUUCGUGGUGUAGCGGUGAAAUGCAUAGAUAUCACGCAGAACUCCGAUUGCGAAGGCAGCCUAC